AGUGAACGCUGGCGGUAGGCCUAACACAUGCCAGUCGAACGGCAGCACAGUAAGAGCUUGCUCUUACGGGUGGCGAGUGGCGGACGGGUGAGGAAUACAUCGGAAUCUACUUUUUCGUGGGGGAUAACGUAGGGAAACUUACGCUAAUACCGCAUACGACCUACGGGUGAAAGCAGGGGAUCUUCGGACCUUGCGCGAUUGAAUGAGCCGAUGUCGGAUUAGCUAGUUGGCGGGGUAAAGGCCCACCAAGGCGACGAUCCGUAGCUGGUCUGAGAGGAUGAUCAGCAACACUGGAACUGAGAGACGGUCCAGACUCCUACGGGAGGCAGCAGUGGGGAAUAUUGGACAAUGGGCGCAAGCCUGAUCCAGCCAUACCGCGUGGGUGAAGAAGGCCUUCGGGUUGUAAAGCCCUUUUGUCGGGAAAGAAAAGCAGCAGGUUAAUACCCCGCUGUUCUGACGGUACCCAAAGAAUAAGCACCGGCUAACUUCGUG
This 492-nucleotide ribosomal RNA is filed under the name uncultured bacterium. RNAcentral's name for it is "partial 16S ribosomal RNA". It matches the Rfam family "Bacterial small subunit ribosomal RNA", at positions 29 to 507 of the family's 1533-position model. The record is from RNAcentral.